UAGGGAAUAUUGCAAAAUGGGCGAAAGCCCGAUGCAGCAACGCCGCGUGGGCGAUGAAGGCCUUCGGGUCGUAAAGCCCUUUUUGAGGGGAUGAGGAAGGACAGUACCCUCAGAAUAAGCCUCGGCUAACUACGUGCCAGCAGCCGCGGUAAAACGUAGGAGGCGAGCGUUAUCCGGAUUUACUGGGCGUAAAGCGCGUGCAGGCGGAUUGGAGAGUUGGAUGUGAAAGCUCCCGGCUUAACUGGGAGAGGCCGUUCAAUACUUCCAGUCUUGAGUGCAGGAGAGGGAAGUGGAAUUCCGGGUGUAGUGGUGAAAUGCGUAGAUAUCCGGAGGAACACCAGUGGCGAAAGCGGCUUCCUGGACUGUAACUGACGCUCAGACGCGAAAGCUAGGGUAGCAAACG
RNAcentral lists this ribosomal RNA (403 nucleotides) under uncultured bacterium. RNAcentral's name for it is "bacterial SSU rRNA". It matches the Rfam family "Bacterial small subunit ribosomal RNA", at positions 355 to 774 of the family's 1533-position model. The record is from RNAcentral.